GCUGGAUAUGGUGGCUCAUGACUGUAAUCCCAGCUACUCUGGAGGCUGAGGCAGGAAGAUGGCAAGUUCAAGGCUGGCCUAGAUUACUUAGCAAUACCCUGCCUCAA
This 107-nucleotide small RNA is filed under the name Marmota monax (woodchuck). Lineage: Eukaryota; Metazoa; Chordata; Mammalia; Rodentia; Sciuridae. The record is from RNAcentral.